AGCGAACGCUGGCGGCAGGCUUAACACAUGCAAGUCGAACGGGCGUAGCAAUACGUCAGUGGCAGACGGGUGAGUAACGCGUGGGAACGUACCUUUUGGUUCGGAACAACUGAGGGAAACUUCAGCUAAUACCGGAUAAGCCCUUACGGGGAAAGAUUUAUCGCCGAAAGAUCGGCCCGCGUCUGAUUAGCUAGUUGGUGGGGUAAUGGCUCACCAAGGCGACGAUCCGUAGCUGGUCUGAGAGGAUGACCAGCCACACUGGGACUGAGACACGGCCCAGACUCCUACGGGAGGCAG
RNAcentral lists this ribosomal RNA (297 nucleotides) under uncultured Pseudomonadota bacterium. RNAcentral describes it as "uncultured proteobacterium partial 16S ribosomal RNA". It matches the Rfam family "Bacterial small subunit ribosomal RNA", at positions 29 to 351 of the family's 1533-position model. The record is from RNAcentral. Lineage: Bacteria; Pseudomonadati; Pseudomonadota.